This 270-nucleotide ribosomal RNA is filed under the name uncultured bacterium. RNAcentral describes it as "partial 16S ribosomal RNA". The record is from RNAcentral.
CUGCUGCCUUCCGUAGGAGCCUGGUCCGUGUCUCAGUACCAGUGUGGGGGACCUUCCUCUCAGAACCCCUAGACAUCGUCGCCUUGGUGGGCCGUUACCCCGCCAACUAGCUAAUGUCACGCAUGCCCAUCCGUCUCCGGAGUCGCCUCCUUUGGCCGAAAGAAGAUGCCUCCCCUCGGCCACAUGCGGUAUUAGGCCGGAUUUCUCCGGGUUAUCCCGCUGAAACGGGCAGGUUGCAUACGCGUUACUCACCCGUGCGCCCGUCGCCGG